Monopterus albus (swamp eel) is the source of this 1199-nucleotide long non-coding RNA. RefSeq lists it as uncharacterized. The transcript has 5 exons. The record is from RefSeq and is a predicted model, not a curated record. NCBI's taxonomy places the organism in Eukaryota, Metazoa, Chordata, Actinopteri, Synbranchiformes, Synbranchidae.
UGCAUUGUUGUAAUGCUAACUAACCUAUAAUUAAUAACUAGUGCUCGCUAGUGCUAUGCUGUUCUGAUAAAAAAAAAAAAAAAGACCAUAUGCAUUGAUUUCAACAAUGCAACUCUAUUCUAUGUGUUUCUUUCAACUCAUGCAAAACUUGUCAAUAACGGCUAAUGUAAGCACAGAUUACUAGCAACAUGUCGACUGUCACUACAUGAACUCAAGUUAUGAGGGAGGCAAAUCAGGUUUAAACCUAAUCUAGAUGUCAGAAUGAAGAAGCCAUCACAAAGUAUGUUUAAUAUAGAGUUCUCACAAAAAAGAUUUAACCUUGCUAAUAUGUUGUAUGCUUGAUCUUGCAUUUGAUAAAUUUGUUACAUCGCUGAGCUAUUUUAGACUAAUCAGACAUUAUUGUUCAAUAGCAACUUCAUCAGCUUCUCCAGCACCGGAGCAGCUGGUCCAUCCAGUGGAUGGUAAGUAUAAGUUAUUUUUAGUAUAAUCAGUUAUAUAAAAUGAUUUGAUUUAAAUGUAUUUUAAUGUGUCAUACUGUUUGUUUAGCUGAAGUUUCCAGGAUGUUUGCAUCAUAUAACCGCAUGACAGGGACACCCAGAAGAAACCACACAAAGAAUACCAUCGCAUUAAUAUCAUACACACACACCUUCUGCUGUCUCAUUUGAAAAAGAGCGCUUACAUCGUUUAGGUUUGGGUGAAAAGCAUCUCACUUUUCGUGGAAACCAAGAAAGCCCAGAGGAAUUUUCUGAGUUUCUCCUGGCUGCAUUCCCCAAAUUGAGGGAUGCCGGUGGGUUUGAGCUCAUGCGGGUCACUGGGAAUACAAGGAGCCGUCAACUUAUGCUUCUGUCAUGCCCCAAUGCUGGUUAUACAGUGAGGCAUUUGAGGGAUUUGGCCCCUGUGAUAACCAGAACCAUUCUUUACAUUCAGCCCCUGCAGAGGAAUUUGAGCGUGGACAAUAUUAUGGAACCAAAUGCACAAGGAACCGAAUUAGGACCUGUGAUGCCUUGCAUUCACUGUGGGCACGGAUUUGCCUUCUCUGAGUUAAAACGCCACAGUGAAAGUUGUUCAAGUGAAUCACAAAGUGAGAGGAGAGUUGAAGGUGCAAGACAAAUUAGUUCUGACAGCGGGACAAGUGCCUUCAACUUACAAGAGUCUGUACAGCUAGCUCAGGAGACUGCAGCAGCAGGAUCCCUUAUUGA